Molecule: non-coding RNA, 228 nt
Organism: Paramuricea clavata
Lineage: Eukaryota; Metazoa; Cnidaria; Anthozoa; Malacalcyonacea; Plexauridae
Source: the annotation of a GenBank genome assembly
GGUUUAUGAGUAAAUAUCCUGACAUCCAUCCAUACAUCGCACAAAGGACUGGGCGUUAGUCAACUCUGGAAACAACCUCGUUACCAGGGCCUUUUUUGAAAAAUUUUCAAAAAAGGCCCUGGGAACGAGGUUGCUCUGGAAAACCAAGAAGUGUCAAGAAUAUAGUGUACAGCCGAGUGAAAGUUUUGCUGGUCCUCCGAUAUGAAAACUACGGGCCCUACCUCUCGG